UGAGAUGUAGCUCAGUUGGUAGAGUGCCUGCCUGGCAUGCAAGAAGCCCCAGAUUCCAUCCCAGCACCUCAU
RNAcentral lists this transfer RNA (72 nucleotides) under Neotoma lepida (desert woodrat). It matches the Rfam family "tRNA". From Rfam's summary of the family: Transfer RNA (tRNA) molecules are approximately 80 nucleotides in length. Their secondary structure includes four short double-helical elements and three loops (D, anti-codon, and T loops). The record is from Rfam by way of RNAcentral. Lineage: Eukaryota; Metazoa; Chordata; Mammalia; Rodentia; Cricetidae.